CCUACGGGAGGCUGCAGUGAGGAAUAUUGGUCAAUGGGCGGAAGCCUGAACCAGCCAAGUAGCGUGCGGGAUGACGGCCCUACGGGUUGUAAACUGCUUUUAUACGGGAGUAAAGCGCCUCACGUGUAGGGCUUUGCGUGUACCGUGUGAAAAAGGAUCGGCUAAUUCCGUGCCAGCAGCCGCGGUAAUACGGAGGGUUCGGGCGUUAUCCGGAUUUAUUGGGGUUAAAGGGUGCGUAGGCGGAUGCUUAAGUGAGCGGUAAAAUGUCGGGGCUCAACCGGGCCGUGCCGUGGAGACUGGGGGCCUUGAGUGGGCGAGAAGCAAGCGGAAUGCGUGGUGUAGCGGUGAAAUGCGUAGAUAUGACGUAGAACCCCGAUUGCGAAGGCAGCGUACCGGAGCGCAACUGACGCUGAAGCACGAAGGCGUGGGUAUCGAACAGGAUUAGAUACCCUAGUAGUC
Molecule: ribosomal RNA, 459 nt
Filed under: uncultured bacterium
Lineage: Bacteria
Description: partial 16S ribosomal RNA
Rfam family: Bacterial small subunit ribosomal RNA
Source: RNAcentral